GAUGAACGCUAGCGACAGGCCUAACACAUGCAAGUCGAGGGGUAACAGGGUUUUCGGACCGCUGACGACCGGCGCACGGGUGCGUAACGCGUAUGCAACCUACCUUACACUGGGGGAUAGCCCGAAGAAAUUCGGAUUAAUACCCCAUAACAUUACGAAGUUUCAUGAUUUUGUAAUUAAAACUCCGGUGGUGUAAGAUGGGCAUGCGUGACAUUAGAUAGUUGGUGAGGUAACGGCUCACCAAGUCGACGAUGUCUAGGGGUUCUGAGAGGAAGGUCCCCCACACUGGUACUGAGACACGGACCAG
This 307-nucleotide ribosomal RNA is filed under the name uncultured bacterium. RNAcentral describes it as "bacterial SSU rRNA". It matches the Rfam family "Bacterial small subunit ribosomal RNA", at positions 28 to 334 of the family's 1533-position model. The record is from RNAcentral.